RNAcentral lists this transfer RNA (74 nucleotides) under Paramoeba pemaquidensis. Its description in RNAcentral is "tRNA-Met". It matches the Rfam family "tRNA". Rfam says of the family: Transfer RNA (tRNA) molecules are approximately 80 nucleotides in length. Their secondary structure includes four short double-helical elements and three loops (D, anti-codon, and T loops). Lineage: Eukaryota; Discosea; Flabellinia; Dactylopodida; Paramoebidae. The record is from RNAcentral.
UCAUCUCUCUUCUAAUUGGUUAAGAAAUACCGCUCAUAACGGCAGUAAUGUUGGUUCGAGUCCAACGGGGUGCA